GCUUUCAAUUUUUGCUGCAGUCAGUCAUCAAAAUUGGUUCAUUUUCAUUAAAAUGGUGUUAUUCUUCACCCAUCUUCCUGAGCAAGUUCUUUCUAAUAUACUGAAGCAUAUAUUCUGCAUAGAUUGUUCAACAGUAAUCCGUGUUAAUGAUGUACUAGUCUCUAUGUGGCAAUCUACAGUAUAAGAUCUUAUACGAUUAAAUUGAUUCUUUUUUAGAUUCUUUGUUUUUCUAUUGUCAUCAACGCAAAUGAUGAAUUUAAUGAAUGAAAGAUUUU
This 275-nucleotide long non-coding RNA is filed under the name Trifolium pratense (red clover). RNAcentral's name for it is "long non-coding RNA (TPRA_LNC011037)". Lineage: Eukaryota; Viridiplantae; Streptophyta; Magnoliopsida; Fabales; Fabaceae. The record is from RNAcentral.